This 317-nucleotide long non-coding RNA is filed under the name Elaeis guineensis (African oil palm). Its description in RNAcentral is "long non-coding RNA (EGUI_LNC031666)". The record is from RNAcentral. Lineage: Eukaryota; Viridiplantae; Streptophyta; Magnoliopsida; Arecales; Arecaceae.
UCGCUCAUCUCCCUACCACCACUCAACUUCUCAUUGUUUCUCUUCCAUCUGCCUCCUUCAACUCCCCCUCCUUUCAAUAUCCAUUUGGCCUCCAGUCACUGUUUCAUACAACUCCACAUUAAAGGCGAUCUCAUCCAUCCUCAACAUUCUCUUCAUUUUUUUAACUUUUUCAUUUCAUCUAGGCAAAGAUCUUUUAUAGACAAGAAUGAAUAGGCAAGAUUUUCAUGUCCCAAGCUCUAUCAUCUACUGAGCUCCAACAUCCAAUCUAUGAGGUAACUAGAAACUAUUUGUUAAAAUAUUUGUUAGAAAUUUUCUAU